RNAcentral lists this ribosomal RNA (1109 nucleotides) under Salmonella enterica subsp. enterica serovar Bareilly. Its description in RNAcentral is "partial 23S ribosomal RNA". It matches the Rfam family "Bacterial large subunit ribosomal RNA", at positions 392 to 1503 of the family's 2925-position model. The record is from RNAcentral. Lineage: Bacteria; Pseudomonadati; Pseudomonadota; Gammaproteobacteria; Enterobacterales; Enterobacteriaceae.
AUGUGCUGUGAGCUCGAUGAGUAGGGCGGGACACGUGGUAUCCUGUCUGAAUAUGGGGGGACCAUCCUCCAAGGCUAAAUACUCCUGACUGACCGAUAGUGAACCAGUACCGUGAGGGAAAGGCGAAAAGAACCCCGGCGAGGGGAGUGAAAAAGAACCUGAAACCGUGUACGUACAAGCAGUGGGAGCACAGGUUUACCUGUGUGACUGCGUACCUUUUGUAUAAUGGGUCAGCGACUUAUAUUCUGUAGCAAGGUUAACCGUAUAGGGGAGCCGGAGGGAAACCGAGUCUUAACCGGGCGUUAAGUUGCAGGGUAUAGACCCGAAACCCGGUGAUCUAGCCAUGGGCAGGUUGAAGGUUGGGUAACACUAACUGGAGGACCGAACCGACUAAUGUUGAAAAAUUAGCGGAUGACCUGUGGCUGGGGGUGAAAGGCCAAUCAAACCGGGAGAUAGCUGGUUCUCCCCGAAAGCUAUUUAGGUAGCGCCUCGUGAAUUCAUCUCCGGGGGUAGAGCACUGUUUCGGCUAGGGGGCCAUCCCGGCUUACCAACCCGAUGCAAACUGCGAAUACCGGAGAAUGUUAUCACGGGAGACACACGGCGGGUGCUAACGUCCGUCGUGAAGAGGGAAACAACCCAGACCGCCAGCUAAGGUCCCAAAGUCAUGGUUAAGUGGGAAACGAUGUGGGAAGGCCCAGACAGCCAGGAUGUUGGCUUAGAAGCAGCCAUCAUUUAAAGAAAGCGUAAUAGCUCACUGGUCGAGUCGGCCUGCGCGGAAGAUGUAACGGGGCUAAACCAUGCACCGAAGCUGCGGCAGCGACACUCAGGUGUUGUUGGGUAGGGGAGCGUUCUGUAAGCCUGUGAAGGUGUGUCGUGAGGCAUGCUGGAGGUAUCAGAAGUGCGAAUGCUGACAUAAGUAACGAUAAAGCGGGUGAAAAGCCCGCUCGCCGGAAGACCAAGGGUUCCUGUCCAACGUUAAUCGGGGCAGGGUGAGUCGACCCCUAAGGCGAGGCCGAAAGGCGUAGUCGAUGGGAAACGGGUUAAUAUUCCCGUACUUGGUGUUACUGCGAAGGGGGGACGGAGAAGGCUAUGUUGGCCGGGCGACGGUU